CCCGACAUCAAACUCUAUAAAUAGUACAUACUGUUGCAGAACUAGUUAUACUAGUUCCCAUCUAUAAAUAAUUACCACUAAUAGCAAACGGGAAAACACCAAUUUCAAACGAAAUAAAAUAUAUUUAAUCUCUUAUUUCAAUAGGCUAUAAACAAAACAAACACAGAUAUAGGAUUAGUUGCUCGCAGUUACAUCGAAACAAAGGAAAUGAAACAGUUCAGAAUAAGAUGCCGAUAUAAAAAGAUAUUACCAACUGAUGAUCUAAAAUUUUCCUUCAUAUAACCAUCUUCAAACUGACAUCACGAGCUCUAUAGUACGAUAAAGGUGUAUCAUCUUCUCUUAGCUAGUAAACACUUCGCGACUUCAAAGAGAACACAAAACAAAAAUGAAAUCAGAUUCUAAACAAGUUAAUUUCAGAUAAAUCUUUAACCACUUAACAGGACUGAUCUCAUAUCCAAAUCGACAAUCGGAACACCAAAAACGUAACUUUCCAAAAUAAAAUUUAUAUUUCAUAACGGUAUAUAUAUAGUGAACUAGACUGACGCUUCCACAUGAGAUGGUAAUGCAAAGACAAUUUUUCAAUUCUUGAAUCAUUGGAUAAUUUCCAAGACUGUUUCCAUUGAUUCUGCAAAUAGAAGAAAACAAUCAAAAACUUCAUAUAUACAUGUAUGUUAAUUAGAUAAACAUUAAACUUCUAUAGAUAUAUACAUACUUCAUAUCUAUAUACAACUUCUAAUCACACUGUGCGAUUCUUUAUGUUACACUGUGCAACAUAGCUCAUGAAAGUCAAAACAUAUACAUAUCUCAUAUCUACAUACAUCAACUUCUAAUCACACUGUGUGAUUCUUUAUGUUACACUGUGCAACGUAGCUCACGAAA
This 879-nucleotide long non-coding RNA is filed under the name Mytilus galloprovincialis (Mediterranean mussel). Lineage: Eukaryota; Metazoa; Mollusca; Bivalvia; Mytilida; Mytilidae. The record is from RNAcentral.